This 138-nucleotide ribosomal RNA is filed under the name uncultured eukaryote. RNAcentral describes it as "partial 18S ribosomal RNA". It matches the Rfam family "Eukaryotic small subunit ribosomal RNA", at positions 1299 to 1458 of the family's 1831-position model. The record is from RNAcentral.
UGGUGGAGUGAUUUGUCUGGUUAAUUCCGUUAACGAACGAGACCUCGACCUGCUGAACAGUGAGCAUUCCUCCGGGAGUGACUUGCUUCUUAGAGGGACUGUCGGAUUUUUAGCCGAAGGAAGUUCGAGGCAAUAACA